RNAcentral lists this ribosomal RNA (36 nucleotides) under Printzina lagenifera. RNAcentral's name for it is "partial 18S ribosomal RNA". Lineage: Eukaryota; Viridiplantae; Chlorophyta; Ulvophyceae; Trentepohliales; Trentepohliaceae. RNAcentral also lists the same sequence under 1 other name. The record is from RNAcentral.
AGGAAUGCCUAGUAAGCGCGAGUCAUCAGCUCGCGU